Phyllopteryx taeniolatus (common seadragon) is the source of this 1690-nucleotide long non-coding RNA. RefSeq lists it as uncharacterized. The record is from RefSeq and is a predicted model, not a curated record. The transcript has 4 exons. NCBI's taxonomy places the organism in Eukaryota, Metazoa, Chordata, Actinopteri, Syngnathiformes, Syngnathidae.
UGCAAUAGUGACAAUAGAAGAAGAAAAGCCACACGGGCAUAAAAUAAUUAGAGCAGUUAUACUGACAAAUAUUAACGAUUAUGUAUGCUUUUGUUUUAUUAUUUCGUUUGUGAACUUUAAAAAUCUAUUUACUCACUCUUAGCUGUGUGAUUUGGGUUUUAUGUCAAUAGCAGCGUUUUAGUAGCUUUUUAUUGUGUUAACCUAGGUAGCUAAGUGGCCGCUAAUGCGUAAAACACAAUGUAUGAUUCUUUAAAAUUAUUUUUUAAAUCCGUAGACGGAAAAACAUUGUUUGAAUUAUUACGGACUCAUCCUCUGGAUUACUCGUCACCGUUGCUGAGUUGACUGCUGUUAAGGAACACGAGAGGAGUUUUGUACACGGCCGUGGAGGAUAAUUAUGAUUCACUUCCAGUUGUAAAUGAGCAGUCAUGGAUGUCCCCAUCCUUUGGGAUUCUCCAGCCCUUUGAAAAGAAAAUAGAGGUUAAAAAUCUGCUAAAUGAGUUUCCAGCAACCGAGAUCCUUUUCUUCCACAGGGGCUGGAAUAAAUUAACGGCACUUCUAUUCAUUUCAAUGGGAAAUGAUGAUUUGAGCUAUGAAUUAUGGGGGGGUGUCUGGACCACCAGCCCACAGGAGCGAAGCACGCCAGGAGGGCCCAGGUCAGGCACUUCUUCCCGAGGAUGACCUCCGACACAGCCAGUUUCCACCGGACGGCCUUGAAGAGACAGUAGUGGGGAUUCUUCUCCGGCCCAAGCCGCAGGUUCUAAUUGAUGUGGCAGAGACGUCAGCACUAAUCUUCUACUCUCCGCUGGCCGCCCUGUAAGCACCUCACCACUCCACAGUGAGACCAACAACUGAGGCUGCAGAGUCAAUUAGAUGUAGCCUGCCUGCUACCUGUUCAGUAUAAAUUUAUCUGCUGUAAACGCACAACAUGUUCACUUAUCUAGCCUUGACACAGUGGGUGAUUUCCUAUUGCUGCUGCACGGCUCUAUCAGCUAGGCCGAUAUCUCGCACGACAGUUGGCUGGCUGAUUAUUACAUAUGGAAUAAGGAGGAGACUUGGUUUUCAUAUUUGUAGAAUGCCAAUCUCCCUGUGCAUACCUCGGCUUACACAGUGCAAACGGAUACAGCAAUCUCAGUCAGGUGUUCCAUUACUAAUUUGUUUACAGUGAUAUGAAUAGAAUCAAGUGUGACACGUUUAGUGCACUCUCAUCCCUCAACAAUGUCAGCAACUUCGCCUUAGAGGACAAGCUGGAAUGGAGAGAGGACACUUGUAACUGCUUCAAUGACAUCAUAGACCUUUUCAAAUGGAGAACAAAAAUCACAACUACUGGUAACUUCACUUACGAGUGCUCCAACUUAAAUGUUUAUUGAGUUACAAAGAGUCGUUUGGAUAAGAAGUCGAUGAUGCACUUUCAGCUGUUAUUGAGCGGGACAAACAGUCAAACACAUAAAUACAAAAUGAAAACACUCUCAAUGUUCAUGCAGCAGACGCUAAUACUGAACUCAACGCGUGUUAAACGGCAACCCCGAAUGACUGCAACUUCUGACGUCACAAAAAUUUUCACAACUGCACACAAUACUACAGUAUGUACAGUAAUUUCACUUCAUGAAGGCAGUUUAUUUCUUUAUCUUCUGUUUUGUUUUCAUACAAUGGAGUCAUCCUUUGUCAUGUCGCGGUUCACAUUUUGCGGUCU